RNAcentral lists this ribosomal RNA (1368 nucleotides) under uncultured prokaryote. RNAcentral describes it as "partial 16S ribosomal RNA". It matches the Rfam family "Bacterial small subunit ribosomal RNA", at positions 29 to 1400 of the family's 1533-position model. The record is from RNAcentral.
ACGAACGCUGGCGGCGUGCUUAACACAUGCAAGUCUAAGGAGAACGGGUUCUUCGGAAUCCUAUUAAACUGGCGAACGGGUGAGUAACGCGUAGACAACUUGCCCGAAGAUUUGGGAUAACACUGAGAAAUUAGUGCUAAUACCGAAUAAUAUCACUUUGACCUCGGUCUUUGUGAUCAAAGGUGGCUUCGGCUACCGUCUUCGGAUGGGUCUGCGUCUGAUUAGCUAGUUGGUGAGGUAAUGGCUCACCAAGGCAACGAUCAGUAGCUGGUCUGAGAGGAUGAUCAGCCACACUGGGACUGAGAUACGGCCCAGACUCCUACGGGAGGCAGCAGUGGGGAAUAUUGCGCAAUGGACGAAAGUCUGACGCAGCAACGCCGCGUGAGGGAUGACGGCCUUCGGGUUGUAAACCCCUUUCAGGAGGGACGAAGCGAAAGUGACGGUACCUCCAGAAGAAGCCCCGGCCAACUACGUGCCAGCAGCCGCGGUAAUACGUAGGGGGCGAGCGUUGUCCGGAUUUAUUGGGCGUAAAGAGCUCGUAGGCGGCUCAGCAAGUCGGCCGUGAAGCCUGAGGCUCAACCUCAGGAUGCCGGUCGAAACUGCUGUGGCUAGGGUCCGGUAGAGGAGAGUGGAAUUCCCAGUGUAGCGGUGAAAUGCGCAGAUAUUGGGAGGAACACCAGUAGCGAAGGCGGCUCUCUGGGCCGGCACCGACGCUGAGGAGCGAAAGCUAGGGGAGCAAACAGGAUUAGAUACCCUGGUAGUCCUAGCUGUAAACGUUGGGCACUAGGUGUGGCGGAUUCAUUGACUCCAUCCGUGCCGAAGCUAACGCAUUAAGUGCCCCGCCUGGGGAGUACGGCCGCAAGGCUAAAACUCAAAGGAAUUGACGGGGGCCCGCACAAGCAGCGGAGCAUGUGGUUUAAUUCGACGCAACGCGAAGAACCUUACCUAGGCUUGACAUACAGCGAAAAACCCUAGAGAUAGGGUGUGUUCGGGGCUCGUGCACAGGUGGUGCAUGGCUGUCGUCAGCUCGUGUCGUGAGAUGUUGGGUUAAGUCCCGCAACGAGCGCAACCCCUGUCCUAUGUUGCCAGCGGAUAAUGCCGGGGACUCAUGGGAGACUGCCGGGGACAACUCGGAGGAAGGCGGGGACGACGUCAAGUCAUCAUGCCCCUUAUGUCCAGGGCUGCACGCAUGCUACAAUGGCAGGUACAAUGGGCAGCGAUCCCGCGAGGGUGAGCGAAUCCUCAAAGCCUGUCUCAGUUCGGAUCGGAGUCUGCAACUCGACUCCGUGAAGUCGGAGUCGCUAGUAAUCGUGGAUCAGCUAUGCCACGGUGAAUACGUUCUCGGGCUUUGUACUCACCGCCCGUCAA